AGAACGAACGCUGGCGGCGUGUUUAAGACAUGCAAGUCGCACGGUAUCAUUUGUGUAGCAAUACUCGGAUGGUUCAGUGGCGCACGGGUGAGUAACACGUGAAUUACAUGCCCUUCAGAGGGGGAUAGCCCAGGGAAACUUGGAUUAAUACCCCAUGGUCUCGCAAGAGUAAAAGGUGGCCGCAAGGCUGCCGCUGGAGGAUUGGUUCGCGCCCUAUCAGCUUGUUGGUGAGGUAAUGGCUCACCAAGGCUACGACGGGUACCUGGUCUGAGAGGACGAUCAGGCACACUGGAACUGAGACACGGUCCAGACACCUACGGGUGGCAGCAGUCGAGAAUAAUUCACAAGUGGGGGCAACCCGUGAGUGGUGCAACGCCGCGGUGGAGGAUGACGGUCUUCGGAUUGUAAACCUCCUGUCAUCGUAGGAGUAAGUCUGGUACGUUAAUAGCGGA
Molecule: ribosomal RNA, 452 nt
Filed under: uncultured soil bacterium
Lineage: Bacteria
Description: bacterial SSU rRNA
Rfam family: Bacterial small subunit ribosomal RNA
Source: RNAcentral